UCUGAGGAACAAAUGAGGUCCUCCCUUCGGGACGCGCCGGGGCAGCUGCCUGAGGCUCGGCUCGGGCGAUCGCUCGCGGGGCAGCGCUGCGUUGUCCCGGCCGCCCGCGGAGGCUCCUGCCGCGGGGAGAGGCCGCCGGGUCCUCGGAGCCCCGCAGCAGUGGAGUGGAGCCCCGCCACCAAGGUGAAGAAACUGAGGCCCAGAGAGGUGCUAGCAGCAGUGGUGCUUUCCUAUCUUAUCAUCUUGAGUAGUUAUUCUUCUGAAGCUGACCCUUUAUAUAUCACAGCGGCUAACACUUGUUGUUAACG
Lutra lutra (Eurasian river otter) is the source of this 308-nucleotide long non-coding RNA. RefSeq lists it as uncharacterized. Lineage: Eukaryota; Metazoa; Chordata; Mammalia; Carnivora; Mustelidae. The transcript has 3 exons. The record is from RefSeq and is a predicted model, not a curated record.